This 451-nucleotide ribosomal RNA is filed under the name uncultured bacterium. RNAcentral's name for it is "partial 16S ribosomal RNA". It matches the Rfam family "Bacterial small subunit ribosomal RNA", at positions 29 to 523 of the family's 1533-position model. The record is from RNAcentral.
AACGAACGCUGGCGGCAGGCUUAACACAUGCAAGUCGAACGGUUGUAGCAAUACAGCAGUGGCAGACGGGUGAGUAACACGUGGGAACCUUCCUAGGGGUACGGAACAACUCGGGGAAACUUGAGCUAAUACCGUAUACGUCCGUGAGGAGAAAGAUUUAUCGCCCCUAGACGGGCCCGCGUAGGAUUAGGUAGUUGGUGAGGUAACGGCUCACCAAGCCUACGAUCCUUAGCUGAUCUGAGAGGAUGAUCAGCCACACUGGGACUGAGACAUGGCCCAGACUCCUACGGGAGGCAGCAGUGGGGAAUCUUGGACAAUGGGCGCAAGCCUGAUCCAGCCAUGCCGCGUGAGUGAAGAAGGCCUUCGGGUUGUAAAGCUCUUUUACCAGGGACGAUAAUGACGGUACCUGGAGAAUAAGCCCCGGCAAACUUCGUGCCAGCCGCCGCAGUAA